UGAAACUGCGAACGGCUCAUUAAAUCAGUUAUCGUUUAUUUGAUAGUACCUUACUACUUGGAUACCCGUGGUAAUUCUAGAGCUAAUACAUGCUUAAAACCCCGACUCCGGGAGGGGUGUAUUUAUUAGAUAAAAAACCAAUGCCCUUCGGGGCUCCUUGGUGAAUCAUAAUAACUUUUCGAAUCGCAUGGCCUUGCGCCGGCGAUGGUUCAUUCAAAUUUCUGCCCUAUCAACUUUCGAUGGUAGGAUAGUGGCCUACCAUGGUGGCAACGGGUAACGGGGAAUUAGGGUUCGAUUCCGGAGAGGGAGCCUGAGAAACGGCUACCACAUCCAAGGAAGGCAGCAGGCGCGCAAAUUACUCAAUCCCGAUACGGGGAAGUAGUGACAAUAAAUAUCGAUCCGGGGCUCUUUUGGGUUUCGGAAUUGAAAUGAGAACAAUUUAAAUCCCUUAACGAGGAACAAUUGGAGGGCAAGUCUGGUGCCAGCAGCCGCGGUAAUUCCAGCUCCAAUAGCGUAUAUUAAAGUUGUUGCAGUUAAAAAGCUCGUAGUUGAACCUUGGGUCUGGCUGGCCGGUCCGCCUCACCGCGUGCACUGGUCCGGCCGGACCUUUCCUUCUGGGGAGCCUCAUGGCCUUCACUGGCCGUGGGGGGAACCAGGACUUUUACUGUGAAAAAAUUAGAGUGUUCAAAGCAGGCCUUUGCUCGGAUACAUUAGCAUGGAAUAAUAGAAUAGGACGUGCGGUUCUAUUUUGUUGGUUUCUAGGACCGCCGUAAUGAUUAAUAGGGAUGGUCGGGGGCGUCAGUAUUCAGCUGUCAGAGGUGAAAUUCUUGGAUUUGCUGAAGACUAACUAUUGCGAAAGCAUUCGCCAAGGAUGUUUUCAUUAAUCAGUGAACGAAAGUUAGGGGAUCGAAGACGAUCAGAUACCGUCGUAGUCUUAACCAUAAACUAUGCCGACUAGGGAUCGGACGGGGUUUUUUUGAUGACCCGUUCGGCACCUUACGAGAAAUCAAAGUUUUUGGGUUCUGGGGGGAGUAUGGUC
This 1039-nucleotide ribosomal RNA is filed under the name Spiromastigoides frutex. Its description in RNAcentral is "SSU rRNA". It matches the Rfam family "Eukaryotic small subunit ribosomal RNA", at positions 82 to 1130 of the family's 1831-position model. The record is from RNAcentral. Lineage: Eukaryota; Fungi; Ascomycota; Eurotiomycetes; Onygenales; Spiromastigoidaceae.